RNAcentral lists this unclassified non-coding RNA (365 nucleotides) under uncultured fungus. RNAcentral's name for it is "sequence contains ITS1". The record is from RNAcentral. Lineage: Eukaryota; Fungi.
AGACGAGACGGAGAGAGCCGCGGUGAAUAGCAGGCCAAGAACGCGACGAUGUCGCAUGAUGACUCCGGUAAUUUCUGCACGGAUUAUACGCAACGUCGCCGACACGAAGAUAGGGCGCAUCCGACCCCUAAUCAGGAACGGAGCAAAUGCCAUUUCGCCCCUGCCGAGCCGUUUAACCACCCGCGGGCUGCGUCGCAGGCGCCGCUUGCGGGUCAUGUCCCUGCAACUGCGACGCCGGCUUGUUCGCCGAAUCACCGCGCUGGAAAUCUUCGAUUCGACCGAUGAUCCCGACAUACUCGUUGCCGGAGAAGGUCUGUUGCUGGCUGCCGGGCGGAAACAGGCCCAUGAACUGAAGCUCGCGCAAC